GACGAACGCUGGCGGCGUGCUUAACACAUGCAAGUCGAACGGAAAGGCCCUGCUUUUGUGGGGUGCUCGAGUGGCGAACGGGUGAGUAACACGUGAGUAACCUGCCCUUGACUUUAGGAUAACUUCAGGAAACUGGGGCUAAUACCGGAUAGGAGCUCCUGCUGCAUGGUGGGGGUUGGAAAGUUUCGGCGGUUGGGGAUGGACUCGCGGCUUAUCAGCUUGUUGGUGGGGUAGUGGCUUACCAAGGCUUUGACGGGUAGCCGGCCUGAGAGGGUGACCGGCCACAUUGAGACUGAGAUACGGCCCAGACUCCUACGGGAGGCAGCAGUGGGGAAUAUUGCACAAUGGGCGGAAGCCUGAUGCAGCAACGCCGCGUGCGGGAUGACGGCCUUCGGGUUGUAAACCGCUUUCGCCUGUGACGAAGCGUGAGUGACGGUAAUGGGUAAAGAAGCACCGGCUAACUACGUG
Molecule: ribosomal RNA, 468 nt
Filed under: uncultured bacterium
Lineage: Bacteria
Description: partial 16S ribosomal RNA
Rfam family: Bacterial small subunit ribosomal RNA
Source: RNAcentral